AACCCUUUAAUUUUUUGGGUUAAAAUCGCCCAUUUUUGGGUCAUUUUUGCUUCAAAAUUAUACAUUUUUAGCAACGACUGAAUAAAUUUGUUCCAUUUUGGUCAAUUUCUGCCAUUUUUGGGUCAAUUUUUACCAUUUUGGGUUCAAAUUUUGGCCAUUUUUGGGUCAUUUUUGACCUUUAUUUUGGUUAAAAUCGCCCAUUUUUGGGUCAUUUUGGGUCAAAAUUGCCAUUUUUAGCAACGAUUGAAUCAAUUUGUGCCAUUUUGGGUCAAUUUUUACCAUUUUGGGUCAUUUCUGCCUUUGGGUCAAUUUUGCCCAUUUUGGGUCAUUUUUGACCCUUUAAUUUUUGGGUUAAAAUCGUCCAUUUUUGGGUCAUUUUGGUCAAAUUGCCAUUUUUAGCAACGAUUGAAUAAAUUUGGUGCCAUUUUGGGCAAUUUCUGCCAUUUUUGGGUCAAAUUUCUGCCAUUUUUGGGUCAAUUUUUGGCCCAUUUUGGGUCAUUUUUGGCCCUUUAAUUUUUGGGUUAAAAUCGCCCAUUUUUGGUCAUUUUGGGUCAAAAUUGACAUUUUUAACAUCUUACAUUAAAUAUUGUUCAUUUUUGGGUCAAUUUUCUGCCAUUAUUGGGUUCAAUUUUGGCCCAUUUUGGGUCAUUUUUGACCCUUUAUUUUUGGGUUAAAAUCGCCCAAUUUGGUCAUUUUGGGUCAAAAUUGACAUUUUUAGCAACGAUUGAAUAAAUUUGUUCAUUUUUGGGUCAAUUUUCUGCCAUUUUUGGGUCAAUUUCUGCCAUUUUGGGGUCAAUUUUUGGCCCAUUUUGGGUCAUUUUUGACCUUUAAUUUUGGGUUAAAAAUCGCCCAUUUUUGGGUCAUUUUGGGUCAAAAUUGACAUUUUUAACAUCUACAUUAAUAUUUGUUCAUUUUUGGUCAAUUUUCUGCCAUUUUUGGGUCAAUUUCUGCCAUUUUUGGGUCAAUUUUGGCCCAUUUUGGGUCAUUUUUGGGUCUAUUCAUUUUUGGGUUAAAAUCGCCCAUUUUUGGUCAUUUUGGGUCAAAAUUGACAUUUUUAACAUCUACAUUAAAUAUUUGUUCAUUUUUGGGUCAAUUUCUGCCAUUUUUGGGUCAAUUUCUGCCAUUUUUGGGUCAAUUUCUGCCAUUUUUGGUCAAUUUUGGGUCAUUUUGGGUCAUUUUUGACCCUUUAAUUUUGGGUUAAAAUCGCCAUUUUUGGGUCAUUUGGUCAAAAUUAAAGUUUUUAACAUCUCCAUUAAAUAUUUGUUUCAUUUUUGGGUCAAUUUUCCUUUUGGUCGCCAUUUUUGGUCAAUUUGGGCCCAUUUGGGUGCACGACCUUGAAUUUUUGGGUUAAAAUCGCCAUUUUUGGGGUCAUUUUGGGUCAAAAUGACAUUUUUAGCACGAUUGAAUAAAUUUGUGCCAUUUUGGGUCA
RNAcentral lists this long non-coding RNA (1429 nucleotides) under Coturnix japonica (Japanese quail). RNAcentral's name for it is "lncRNA (ENSCJPG00005002955.1)". The record is from RNAcentral. Lineage: Eukaryota; Metazoa; Chordata; Aves; Galliformes; Phasianidae.